Molecule: non-coding RNA, 2175 nt
Organism: Doryrhamphus excisus (bluestripe pipefish)
Lineage: Eukaryota; Metazoa; Chordata; Actinopteri; Syngnathiformes; Syngnathidae
Source: RefSeq, a predicted model, not a curated record
ACUGCGUCUGUAGUCUUUUGUGGGAUAUUAUUUUUAGUUUUCAUGUAUUUAAUGUUUUACUGUUUAUGUAAUAGUUUCUCGUUGCACACAACAAGUGAUAUAAUUUAAAAAGCGAGGAGAAAAGACAAAAAGAUGCUGGUUUCAUGACGGGUACAGCUCCACAGUCAGCACAUCCAGGGCAUUCCAGGAGGCGAUGCUGAUGCCUCCGAACAGGCAGAGCAGCGCGAUCAUAGCCGACUCACUGUUGCCGAAGGACAGGAAGAAACAGCUGACGCAUGAAAUCACGCUGGAUCCCGCUGGUAAUGAAAAACGGUCAAAAAAUGGAGGACAUUUCAACACGAGAACCCAGGAAGAAGAAAAAUCGCAACAACAACCGCAAAGACAACCAAGAGACAUUUGGACAUUCCUCCGAAUACAAUGCAUCAGUACUAUUAUCUGAUGAAUUAUCAGUAUAUAUUGAUAUAUGAUAUCAUUAUGGAAGUCUUUUCAUUUUACAUGGGGCAAGUUGGGGCAAGUAGUUCUCACCUUAAGGAUUCCCCAUGGGCAAGUCAUUUUUGUUUUUAAUGUAGAGCCCUGUUAGGCUUCAAUAUUUAUUGAACUUUAUUUCAAAUCAAGUAUUUCCAUAGUCUCCUACCUGUGUUGUAAAAGAGGGUGGCGAUGAAGGUGCAGUUCUUAAAGAAGGUGUUGCUGGAGGUGAUGUCCUCAAAGUAACACUCCUCAAACAACGAGUCCUCAAACACCAUCGAUUUCAUUUUCAGGUUCAUGAACCUGUCAAAACAAAUCCAGACAAUAGAAAAAAAAGGAAAAGGAAAGACUGCAAGGAAGGAACGAUGUUGUGAUUGUAUUACUGACUCACUUGUCAUUGAAGUACUGUCCCUGGCGGUGAACCUGGUUCUCCAGGGUGAAGUUGAAGGUGACAUGUUCCACUUUCUCCUUGACAAAGACUUUGGUACGUGAUGAAUACUCCUGCUUCUGAAGAUACUUGAUCAUGUCGGGGAACCACACCGUCAGACCGUAGUAGCUGCACAAGGUGCAUGGUAAGUCAUUUUUAAAUUACCAAAUUCUACCACCAUGAUUUUGGGUUGUUGGCUUUCCAACAUUAUCAACCACACAACCUUCUAUGACACCGAAAAGUAUCAGAGAUUUUCCUUGUUCCUCACCUGAAGGACAUAGAGAACCAUACGGCCAUCAUCAUGUAUGUGGUGCGACGGUACUCGGGGGAGAAAACCGUCUGGAAAUUGCUCCACACCUGAAGGAUCAUACACAACAAAAUGUUAACAUUACACAUCCACCGCUUCAAAAACGAAAUGAAUUCACCUGAUGGAAAAGCGAGGUAAGCUUUAUUCUCCAUUUCUCGUGCCAGGCGGCGCCGUCACCCAGGUUGACCAGCUCAUCCAACUGCUUCACAGUUUUGAUAGUGGUCACCUAUGUGGAAAUAUUUACAUGAAAUUAUUGAAUAUAUGAUGAAAUAUAUGAGCAGCAUGUCUGCUUACAGAGAAAACCCGCUCUGGGUAACCUUUGGCCCUCAUGUUGGUGUCAUGGACCUGCUUCAGAAUCAUCCAGGCCUCGUCGUGCUUCCCGUUCUGGAGAAAGAAACACAAUAAGAGUGGAAAAUGUGGAAUUAACAAUUGGCCAAUGUGGCCAGCCAUGAGUGAGACCCUGUGAACUCUGGCGAGGAACAAGGGGUCAGAAGGUCAGAAUGUAACUAACGGCAUAAACCGUAUACCUCUACAGCAGGGGUCUCAAACACGCGGCCCGCGGGCCAAAUGUGGCCCGCAGGACACUAGUUUGAGGCCCCCGCCUUGAUAUGAAAGUUUAAUGUUUAAGUUUGAUAUGGAUGCUGUAUGGUAUCAUGUACCCGGAAAAAAUGAUUACGUUUGAUUCAUGUUCAUGUUAAAGGUUAAAUAACUGUUAAUAGUUGUCCUCCCUAUCCGUGUGGAAGUGGUAAGUUUUUGGCUAUUUAAGUUGAAAGGAAAUAACUUGAAGGCUAGCGUUUAGGUGGCUAGCUCUCUAGUUUGCGAGUUAGCAUGUGUCUCAAGACCCUGCAGUUGCGCAAUAUGUUGUAAAUAGAGUAUAAAUGUGACUAUAGUCGUGUUUUGUCAUGUCUACAGGGCUCUAAUAAUGCUUUGUUCAUUUUAAUCUGGAAAAAAAUCAUUUGUCUACCCACCAACUAUA